UUGAAUAUUGAUUAAAUUAGCUUAGUCAUUAUAGUUUAUGGGAUUACCUUAGUCUCUCACUUUCUUUCUCAAUCUUAUAACCUGUUCACAUCCCAAUUGUUAAUGGACAAACCUCUGAAGGAGAUUCCUAAAUGGCAUUGCAUAAUGCUAUUGUUAUUUGGAAAUUAGCUAGUGUAGCUUCAUGCACAUACAUGCCUAUUAUAUCUUGAAUUUGUUGCUGCUCUGGGUUUUCAUGAAAUUUUCAACAUCGUUGUCUGUAGUGAGGAAUUCAUUUCUGGAUUUGGGUCUCACACUCCCCUCAUUCUUUUCCGGCUUCCAUAUCACUGUGCCCAUAACAUAUUUGUUUGUGUACUUUAUUGGAUUUGUGAAGAUAUAACAAGAAAGAGAUUUAGAGAACUAAAGAACAAAAGGAACAUUCACGAGAAAGAUCCAGAGACAAAAGCUGAAGAUGCGGCUAAGGGUGAGAA
Molecule: long non-coding RNA, 467 nt
Organism: Ipomoea triloba (trilobed morning glory)
Lineage: Eukaryota; Viridiplantae; Streptophyta; Magnoliopsida; Solanales; Convolvulaceae
Exons: 2
Source: RefSeq, a predicted model, not a curated record